RNAcentral lists this ribosomal RNA (226 nucleotides) under uncultured Ethanoligenens sp. Its description in RNAcentral is "partial 16S ribosomal RNA". It matches the Rfam family "Bacterial small subunit ribosomal RNA", at positions 327 to 571 of the family's 1533-position model. Lineage: Bacteria; Bacillati; Bacillota; Clostridia; Eubacteriales; Oscillospiraceae. The record is from RNAcentral.
CGGCCCAGACUCCUACGGGAGGCAGCAGUGGGGGAUAUUGCACAAUGGAGGAAACUCUGAUGCAGCGACGCCGCGUGAGGGAAGAAGGUCUUCGGAUUUAAACCUCUGUCUUUGGGGACGAAUCAAUGACGGUACCCAAGGAGGAAGCCACGGCUAACUACGUGCCAGCAGCCGCGGUAUACGUAGGUGGCAAGCGUUGUCCGGAUUACUGGGUGUAAAGGGUGCG